This 207-nucleotide ribosomal RNA is filed under the name uncultured bacterium. Its description in RNAcentral is "partial 16S ribosomal RNA". It matches the Rfam family "Bacterial small subunit ribosomal RNA", at positions 568 to 774 of the family's 1533-position model. The record is from RNAcentral.
CACGCAGGCGGUCUGCUAAGUCCUUUGUGAAAGCCCGGGGCUCAACCCCGGAAUUGCAUCGGAUACUGGUAGACUGGAGACUGGUAGAGGCUAGCGGAAUUCCUGGUGUAGCGGUGGAAUGCGUAGAUAUCAGGAAGAACACCUGUGGCGAAGGCGGCUAGCUGGGCCAGUUCUGACGCUCAUGUGCGAAAGCGUGGGGAGCAAACA